This is a long non-coding RNA of Sorex fumeus (smoky shrew), 149 nucleotides long. RefSeq lists it as uncharacterized. NCBI's taxonomy places the organism in Eukaryota, Metazoa, Chordata, Mammalia, Eulipotyphla, Soricidae. The record is from RefSeq and is a predicted model, not a curated record. The transcript has 3 exons.
GUAACUCAAAAGACUUUUAGGAGAGUUGUUCCAUUUCAAUUUACCAGUUGGUGCUAGCUGUUCUUUCCUAGAGGACUGAUCAAUGUGGUAGAACUGCAGAGUGCUAAGGAAGACCCGCUCCCAGCUUCGGAAAGUCAGCCCAAGCCGCC